RNAcentral lists this ribosomal RNA (408 nucleotides) under uncultured bacterium. RNAcentral describes it as "partial 16S ribosomal RNA". It matches the Rfam family "Bacterial small subunit ribosomal RNA", at positions 28 to 526 of the family's 1533-position model. The record is from RNAcentral.
GACGAACGCUGGCGGCGUGCUUAACACAUGCAAGUCGAACGAAGUGGCGAACGGGUGAGUAAUACGUGGGUAACCUGCCCUCCUUUUUGGGCUAAUCCUUGGAAACGGGGUCUAAUCCCGAAUCAAGGGGGAUGGGCUCGCGGCCUAUCAGCUUGUUGGUGGGGUGAUGGCCUACCAAGGCGGUGACGGGUAGCCGGCCUGAGAGGGUGACCGGCCACAUUAGGACUGAGAUACGGCCCAGACUCCUACGGGAGGCAGCAGUGGGGGAUAUUGAACAAUGGGCGCAAGCCAGAGGCGGCGGCGGGGCGUGGGGGAUGGGGGCUUUCGGGUUGGAAACCUAUUACGCUAUAGAGCGGGUAGGUGGUGAGAAAGCGCCGGCUAACUACGUGCCAGCAGCCGCGGUAAUAC